Molecule: ribosomal RNA, 451 nt
Filed under: Flavobacterium sp.
Lineage: Bacteria; Pseudomonadati; Bacteroidota; Flavobacteriia; Flavobacteriales; Flavobacteriaceae
Description: bacterial SSU rRNA
Rfam family: Bacterial small subunit ribosomal RNA
Source: RNAcentral
AUGCAAGUCGAGGGGUAGUAAGUGCUUGCAUUUAUGAGACCGGCGCACGGGUGCGUAACGCGUAUACAAUCUACCUUGUUCAAAGGGAUAGCCCAGAGAAAUUUGGAUUAAUACCUUAUAGUAUUAUAAGAUGGCAUCAUUUAAUAAUUAAAGAUUUAUCGGAACAAGAUGAGUAUGCGUCCCAUUAGCUAGUUGGUAUGGUAACGGCAUACCAAGGCAAUGAUGGGUAGGGGUCCUGAGAGGGAGAUCCCCCACACUGGUACUGAGACACGGACCAGACUCCUACGGGAGGCAGCAGUGAGGAAUAUUGGACAAUGGGCGCAAGCCUGAUCCAGCCAUGCCGCGUGCAGGAAGACGGUCCUAUGGAUUGUAAACUGCUUUUAUACAGGAAGAAACACCUCUACGUGUAGAGACUUGACGGUACUGUAAGAAUAAGGAUCGGCUAACUCCG